Non-coding RNA from Manacus vitellinus (golden-collared manakin), 72 nucleotides. NCBI's taxonomy places the organism in Eukaryota, Metazoa, Chordata, Aves, Passeriformes, Pipridae. The record is from Rfam.
CCCCUGGUGGUCUAGUGGUUAGGAUGCAGCGCUCUCAUCGCCGCAACCUGGGUUCGAUUCCUGGUCAGGGGA